This 934-nucleotide ribosomal RNA is filed under the name Bondarzewia sp. PL450211. Its description in RNAcentral is "eukaryotic LSU rRNA". It matches the Rfam family "Eukaryotic large subunit ribosomal RNA", at positions 36 to 954 of the family's 3401-position model. The record is from RNAcentral. Lineage: Eukaryota; Fungi; Basidiomycota; Agaricomycetes; Russulales; Bondarzewiaceae.
UAGCAUAUCAAUAAGCGGAGGAAAAGAAACUAACAAGGAUUCCCCUAGUAACUGCGAGUGAAGCGGGAAAAGCUCAAAUUUAAAAUCUGGCGGUCUCCGGCCGUCCGAGUUGUAGUCUGGAGAAGCGUUUUCCGCGUCGGCCCGUGUACAAGUUUCCUGGAACGGAGCGUCAUAGAGGGUGAGAAUCCCGUCUCUGACACGGACCGCCGAUGCUUUGUGAUGCGCUCUCGAAGAGUCGAGUUGUUUGGGAAUGCAGCUCAAAAUGGGUGGUGAAUUCCAUCUAAAGCUAAAUAUUGGCGAGAGACCGAUAGCGAACAAGUACCGUGAGGGAAAGAUGAAAAGCACUUUGGAAAGAGAGUUAAACAGUACGUGAAAUUGUUGAAAGGGAAACGCUUGAAGUCAGUCGCGUCUGCCGGGACUCAGCCUUGCAAUCUUGCUUGGUGUACUUUCUGGUGGACGGGCCAGCAUCAAUUUUGGUCGCCGGACAAAGGCUGGAGAAAUGUGGCACCUUCGGGUGUGUUAUAGUCUCUGGUCGCAUACGGCGGUCGGGAUUGAGGAACUCAGCAUGCCUUUAUGGUCGGGGUUCGCCCACGUUCAUGCUUAGGAUGCUGGCGUAAUGGCUUUAAACGACCCGUCUUGAAACACGGACCAAGGAGUCUAACAUGCCCGCGAGUGUUCGGGUGGAAAACCCGUGCGCGUAAUGAAAGUGAAAGUUGGGACCUCUGUCGUGGAGGGCACCGACGCCCGGACCAGAACUUCUGUGACGGAUCUGCGGUAGAGCGUGUAUGUUGGGACCCGAAAGAUGGUGAACUAUGCCUGAAUAGGGUGAAGCCAGAGGAAACUCUGGUGGACGCUCGUAGCGAUUCUGACGUGCAAAUCGAUCGUCAAAUUUGGGUAUAGGGGCGAAAGACUAAUCGAACCAUCUAGUAGCUGG